RNAcentral lists this ribosomal RNA (279 nucleotides) under uncultured bacterium. RNAcentral's name for it is "partial 16S ribosomal RNA". It matches the Rfam family "Bacterial small subunit ribosomal RNA", at positions 506 to 784 of the family's 1533-position model. The record is from RNAcentral.
UGCCAGCCGCCGCGGUAAUACGAAGGGACCUAGCGUAGUUCGGAAUUACUGGGCUUAAAGAGCUCGUAGGUGGUUAGAAAAGUUAGUGGUGAAAUCCCAAGGCUUAACCUUGGAACUGCCACUAAAACUUUUUGACUAGAGUAUGAUAGAGGUAAGCGGAAUUUCUAGUGUAGAGGUGAAAUUCGUAGAUAUUAGAAAGAACACCAAUUGCGAAGGUAGCUUUCUGGAUCAUUACUGACACUGAGGAGCGAAAGCAUGGGUAGCGAAGAGGAUUAGAUA